RNAcentral lists this ribosomal RNA (254 nucleotides) under uncultured bacterium. RNAcentral describes it as "partial 16S ribosomal RNA". It matches the Rfam family "Bacterial small subunit ribosomal RNA", at positions 524 to 777 of the family's 1533-position model. The record is from RNAcentral.
GGUACGGGGGGCAAGCGUUGUUCGGAAUUACUGGGCGUAAAGGGCUCGUAGGCGGCCAACUAAGUCAGACGUGAAAUCCCUCGGCUUAACCGGGGAACUGCGUCUGAUAAUGGAUGGCUUGAGUGUGGGAGAGGGAUGCGGAAUUCCAGGUGUAGCGGUGAAAUGCGUAGAUAUCUGGAGGAACACCGGUGGCGAAGGCGACAUCCUGGACCGGUAUUGACGCUGAGGCGCGAAAGCCAGGGGAGCAAACGGGG